UCUCCGUUGGUGAACCAGCGGAGGGAUCAUUACCGAGGUUACAACUCCCAAACCUAAUGUGAACGUUACCUAACUGUUGCCUCGGCGGGGUCACGCCCCGGGUGCGUCGCAGCCCCGGAACCAGGCGCCCGCCGGAGGAACCAACCAAACUCUUUCUGUAGUCCCCUCGCGGACGUUAUUUCUUACAGCUCUGAGCAAAAAUUCAAAAUGAAUCAAAACUUUCAACAACGGAUCUCUUGGUUCUG
Molecule: unclassified non-coding RNA, 245 nt
Filed under: plant metagenome
Description: partial contains small subunit ribosomal RNA, internal transcribed spacer 1, and 5.8S ribosomal RNA
Source: RNAcentral